This 63-nucleotide small RNA is filed under the name Arabidopsis thaliana (thale cress). RNAcentral's name for it is "ATSL137400". The record is from RNAcentral. Lineage: Eukaryota; Viridiplantae; Streptophyta; Magnoliopsida; Brassicales; Brassicaceae.
UUUUUCUUUCAUUUUUUCGGAACGAUGAUGGUGCAGUGAUGAUGGGUAUAAAUCUCGUUAAUC